GAAUGAAGUAGCGGGGUCAGGCAUAGCUUUUGAAUGACAACCAGUAUAAUGGAAUACAAAUGAGAGUUUGAAUUGGACCAAGAUGGUGUGUCUCUGCUGCAGGUCUUGAAGCUGGUCACAGAUCAGCGUAACCACCCAGCUGUGGCGCUGAUGUCAGAGGGGCACCCGCUGGUGAUCAGCUCUGAUGACCCCUCCAUGUCUGGUGCCAGCGAUCUCUCUGAGGAUUUCUACGAGGCGUUCGUGGGAUUUGGAGGACUGAGCAACCAUUUGGGCACUUUAAAAGAGCUUGCCAUGAACUCCAUUAGGUGUCUACGACCUCCCCCCACCGUCAGCAGUGGAACUUGAAUAUGAUGAUAACGAUGCGCUUGUACUCCUUCCUGAAGUUGCUGUUGAGCGCACCGUACACCACGGCGUUGAGGCAGCUGUUAAAAUACGCCAUGAAGUAGCUGGCUACAAACAGCCACUCGGGGACGGCCGGUCCCAGUCUGGGGUCCAACGCCACCGCCAGCCCGAUCAGGUUGAUGGGCGCCCAGCACACGGCAAACAGCGCGAACACCACCAACAUGGUGAGAAAGCCGCGGACGUCGUACGUCUUGAUCUUGGGCCGCGCGCCGGGCUUGACCCGUCGCCUCGCCCGGAUGACCAGGAUCCAGAUUCGCAGGUAGGAGUAGGAGGCGACAGAGAUGGGCAGGAUGAAGUGCACCAGCACCACCGCCACGGUGUACAGGGGGCUGACGGACUGGGCGAAGGUGCAGGAGUAGACGCGCGGGUCGUACCGCAGCGACUCCAUGAACCAGUUGGGCGCGAUGGCCAGGACGGUGAGCGCCCACACCAGCGGCAUGUAGCACACGGUGUUGCUGCCGGAGUACACGGUGUCGUACUGGAGGCUGUGGCAGAUGUGGCAGUAGCGGUUGAUGGCGAUGCCGGCGAUGUUGAAGAUGGAGCCGAUGACGCUGAGGCCCAUCAGGAAGCCGCUGAUCUGGCACUGGAGGUAGCCGGCGACCCAGCCGUCGUUGAAGAUGGCCGCGAGCACCAGGGGGUAGGGGUAGACGGCCACCAGCAGGUCGGCCAGCGCCAGGCUCACCACAAAGGCGUUUCCUGGAAACACAGAUACAGAGAGAGGGACAGGGAGCUGGUAAGAGGGCUUGGUAGGAUAAAACAACGCAAAUUGAAUAGAUCAGAAUUAAAUACAACGGAACUCAACGUAAUAGAGCACAACAGAACACAUGAGAAUAGGCUAGAAUAAAACGGAAACAAUAAUAGUGCAAUUUAAAGCGUUGUUUCAUUAAAGACAAUACAGAGAGAGAGUUCAUGAGAGAGAGCAGACCGAGAAACGGGAUGUACUAAAAGAAAGUAAUCAAGUCAGCGUUUCCCCUCGAUUUUUUUGUAGCAGUGGUGCUGUGAGUUGGUAACCUAGCAACGCUAGGGGGGUCCUGGGGCAUGCCCCCCUUGAAACAAUUUGUGAAAAAUAACCCUUUAAAUAGUUACUUCUGGUGAGAUUUUUUGGGGAAAAAUUUACAGUUUGAGCUUCCAAAUAUGACAUAACAUCCAACAGAGUGAAGGUAUCGGCUUUGUAUCUUUCUUUUUUUUGUUGCAAUUACUAUUUUUUUUUGCAGUGCCGCUGCAGGGGAAACACUGCAAGUAUUCAAUAGAUAAACAUGUUACAUUAUGUCUUUGUGUGUCUGUGCAUAGUGUGUGUACCAUCUACCAUCUGCCUGGAAGGCACUAGACUCCCAGACAGUCACUCCUUCCAAAAUCCUUACCGAACAGUUCUAUGUUAAACCCUGCAGUUCUAUGUUAAAUCAAAGGCCAGGGACAGUUUCAUGCGGCAAAUUGAUUUACACUGACGUAUUGCACUUCCUGGGUGCCAUUUUGAAUGUGAGUAUAACAUCUACUUUCUAACUCUCAAGUCAAGUCAAUUAUAUUUGUACAGCCCUAACACAAAGGCCAAGCGGUGGCACGGACCAAAAAGGACUUGGCGAUUGGAGGUUAGCGAUGACAGCAAGCGGCUGUUUCUAUUUCCGACCCUCUUGUUGUUUGUCGUUGGUUUUUAUUCAAAAUAAAAAAAAUAUUCAUAAACAUUUAUAAGUAGCCUAGUCUAGAUAGACACAGUCCUUCGGGCAAGAGAAUAAACAACAACCUGUUUACCACCUCAGGUGUAUUAACCUAUCCUAUCCCCAGUCAGAUCUGUGCCCGCGUGUGUGUGCGUGUGUGUGUGUGUGUGUGUGUGUGUGUGUGUGUGUGUGUGUGUGUGUGUGUGUGUGUGUGUGUGUGUGUGUGUGUGUGUGUGUGUGUGUGUGUGUGUGUGUGUGUAUAUGUGUAAGGUCUGCCUUACUUGUAUUCAUUUGCAAUAACUUGAAUGGAACUUUAGACAUUUGGAGAUAAGCAGCAUAGCAGUCAGGUAGCUAUUUAAAGCUAUAGUAAACCGCGUAUUUCGUUUAUUUAGAUGAAGCAUUAUGAAAUAGUUUGCAUGCACAAUAAAGCAUACACAUAAAUCAAACCUCGGCCUGGACGGACCCGAGGUUUCAUCCAGGACGGAAUAUACUACCGUCAUCCACCAGCCGGCGACGGAGAGCGCCCGUUGAACCCCAAUCAGCGAGAUGGGAGACACCUGGCUGGACAGCCAGGAAGACAUUUUAAAAGGAGCAUGAGGACUGGCAUUUAGGAGGAACGGGAGCGAGAGAGAAGGAAGCGCUCGGGUCUGCGAGCGACUAGAGGCUCACGGAGGGCCCAAGAGACUGUAAGUAUAAUCUGUGUAAGAUGUAUGCAAUAAAUGCCUAGUGCGACUUAAACCUUGCUUAAUGUGUGAUUCGUACCUGGAACCCGGCUCAUUGGGGGAGCGGGGUACCACAGUAUCUAAAAUGAUGUAUACCUAUGGUGUGUGCGUGUACAUAAAUAUGGUUUUUAUCUAUCGUGUGUGUGUGCAUAUGGUUUGUAUCUAUAUGUUGUGUGCAGUGGCGGCUGGUAGUUUUUAAAGUGAGGGAGGAAGGACCGCACGCUUGGUUGACAUGGGCCUGCUUGCACUGUUGGUGUAUGGUGGCAUAAGAAUGUGAGACUGAAGUUGUUUCAGGGUGUUUUGGUGAACUACAAAAUAGUAGGGAGGGAUAGUUAUGUGAAUAAAUUAGAUACAAAGCCACCAGUGGCAUCACUGUAAUUUGAAAGCUGGUGGGCAGCAUGUCUUUGAAAUGGACUACAAGGGCAGAAGGAAAGGAUGCAAAGCCCAUUAGUCAAAUCAGGCCUACUCUUGAUUUGCAAAAGUAAAUAAAAAAAUUUGGAUCUAUUUUUGCCCUCAAUGAAUGAAGUUAUUGGUUGUAAUUUAGCUAUGUUUAUUUUCAGGUACAAUUGAUUUAAAAAAAGACUGACAAAGUGAUGCCAGUUAAAAUUCCAUCAUGCUCUGAAUCAUUCACUCUUUCCACACCAUUUCCACAAUAUGAAACAGAACGGUCAGAGUAGCAAACUAGUAAAAGAACGAGAACAUUAUUCUAGAUUCAACCUGAUCUAUAGGCAUGGUGCCUAGCAAGGAAAGUCGCAUAGCAGCACCAACGUGAACUUGAAACUAGUUGCAGCGUUUGGUUGCCCUAUUCACAUCAGGGAUACCAUGAACAGCCCACGUUGGUGAUUUGCCAUUAUUCAUUAGCAAACAGGGCCAGCAAUACAGUCGAUUGCUAGUAAUGCUACCAGUAAGCCAUGAGUACCUAGCAAACCAUGUAGCACCCACAACACUGACGUUGCCAUUACUUGUGGUGAUCUCGAUUUUGCGAAGUGGUCAACCUUUUUCUUUGGUCGCUAACUUAGCACUGUAACUCAAUGAAUGGAAUGCUUUGUGUAAUUAAACAUGAACAAUGUCCUCUGUUUCCAAUUUUCCAUUGUACACCUUAUUCGCAAAUGUUAGAAUCUCGUUAUCCUUGA
This is a long non-coding RNA of Gadus morhua (Atlantic cod), 3909 nucleotides long. Lineage: Eukaryota; Metazoa; Chordata; Actinopteri; Gadiformes; Gadidae. The record is from Ensembl.